RNAcentral lists this ribosomal RNA (351 nucleotides) under Triticum aestivum (bread wheat). RNAcentral's name for it is "partial small subunit ribosomal RNA". The record is from RNAcentral. Lineage: Eukaryota; Viridiplantae; Streptophyta; Magnoliopsida; Poales; Poaceae.
AUGGCACGGUGGCCAGUUGGGGACAGGUUGGGGACGAGCGAUGUUGUCCCCGUCGUCGACGAGCAAAUGCGAUGCCUGUGGUGGAAGAGCGGAGAUAAGAGGGAGAGGCGGAGGCGUGGUGUGGUAGCCGGGGCGAUGCGGCGGCGCUGUAACGCAUUGUACGAUAUGGUGGCCGGAUGGAUCCACAUGCAAGGGAGUGGAUGCACUUACUUGGAAUUGGCAACAGCCAGCCGGAACCGAUCUGUGUCGUGCUUCGUCUAUCACCGUCCUGCUUCUCCUCGCCGCGAAGCGGCGCUAACUAGAGCCGAGAAGACGAUCAGAUCGAAUCACAUAUGCCCCGAGAAGAAAUAA